Orbicella faveolata is the source of this 1044-nucleotide long non-coding RNA. NCBI's taxonomy places the organism in Eukaryota, Metazoa, Cnidaria, Anthozoa, Scleractinia, Merulinidae. The record is from RefSeq and is a predicted model, not a curated record.
UCUUCGCUGGACAAAGGACUCCAAAAGUCCGGUCAGAAAGAUAAAGUCAGGUCCAUUCUGAGGAAGGAAAUGGAUAAAGCUGGCGUCAAGGAUCCUCAAGUUCUGGACAAGUCUUACUGGAUCAAGAGAGUUGGUGAGGUAUGCUAGUGAGAGUUUACUAUCCUCUAUCUCUCUUCCCACUUCUUCACUUUGACUUCUCACUUUUUUUCUGCUUACAAUUUUUUUCCCAGCCUGGUUUGACUUCUCUGUUCCAACGGUUUGCAUACCAAUUCUUGCUCUGAAGUCUCAUUUUCCACUAGUACUACUUGCCAUGACUUCUCACAUCGCACUUGUCACCUCCUACUAUUGCUAUCUGUAAUGACCAGCCACGAGUGAAUCCAAACAUACCCUAAUUUAUUCAGUAAAGAGCGAAUUCAUCACGUGAUCAUGGAGAAAUACCAAUCACAACAUUCCUCCCCUCUAGAAUUACAGGUUAUUCAUCCAUAAACUCAUGUAAAUUGGAACAACUAAAUCAAAAACUAUUUGUCCUCUAUUUCAACCACAAUCCCUGUGAUAAAGUCACGAUUUAUACAGGUAGUCUUUCAGGUUUCCAGGUCUGGCCCUUUUCCGCACAGGGCGUGUCCCCAGAGAACUUGUUUUAACGGGUGUCUGAGUAGGUGGUGCCGGUGGAGAAUCAGGAACCUCAAGUUGGUCGCUAACACCAGGGGUGGGUGGUGUUGCAUCACACUCAGGCAAGACCACUGGUGUCACGCUGGGUGUCACGCUUGUAACUGGCUCCUCCGCCACAUCAUUCUCAUGGCUUCGAACAUGGCCUUGGUGCCGCCGGAUGACUGUUCCGUUGUUUAGCUGAACUCGAGCUGACACUGGACCAGUUUUCUCCACGACAGUCCCUGGGUCUAGGCCUUCUUGUUCCGGAAAUCCUUAGCAUAAACAGCCUGGCCCUCUAGAAUCUCCCUCUCCUUAGCAUGGUAAUCAUGUGUUGCCUUCUGCUGGGACUGUUUAUUCCUAACGCGAUUUGCUACGCUUGGAACAAGCUGAUUCAGC